GUCACUUGUUCUCUUAUAUGUAAAAAUGAAAUGUGGUAUGGAUAUGAGUCUUCAUAGGUUUUUUUUUAGAAAAUGUGUAACGACAUGUAUGCUUUAUAUUAAAUGCAUUUAAUUAAAGUAAUGGUUCUAUUAGUUAUUUUUCUAAUUUUUGCCGAUCUUCAAUGUUCCGUAUAUGUAAUUAGUGUGAUACUCUUACUGAACUAGUG
RNAcentral lists this long non-coding RNA (206 nucleotides) under Carica papaya (papaya). RNAcentral describes it as "long non-coding RNA (CPAP_LNC012853)". The record is from RNAcentral. Lineage: Eukaryota; Viridiplantae; Streptophyta; Magnoliopsida; Brassicales; Caricaceae.